This 1225-nucleotide unclassified non-coding RNA is filed under the name Hevea brasiliensis (rubber tree). The record is from RNAcentral. Lineage: Eukaryota; Viridiplantae; Streptophyta; Magnoliopsida; Malpighiales; Euphorbiaceae.
AUAGCUGCCCUGAAAUUUAGCAAGGCUGGUUGCAACAAAAUUAACCAGAAGAAACAAAAGAAAUGUAAACAUGAAGGAUAAAUAUUCUCAAAUAUCUAAUAAACACGAACCAAAGUCAAGUCUAGUGCGCUCGCACAUAGCAAUUGUGAAGCACAGUACAAAAUUGACGACCACAUUCAGUUGUUGCAGCUCGAUAAUGAACUAAAACAAGAUAAACCAAGUCUUCUUUCAACAACUACAUAAAUCAAGAAAAGAGGGCCUGACAGACUGGAAUUCAGAAGAAUUACUGCUCCUUGGUGUAGUGUCGUACCGUAAAGGCCAAGCCCAGGAUCAAGAUGGGUACAAGGAACUGUAGGAUUUUGAUAAUGAAUUCUGGAGUCUUGUCUGGAUUGUAUGCUGUUUGUUCUGAUGGAAUAUAAGCACGUUUUAGGGGAACAGUUGACAUGUCGAUUUCCCCAAUGUAAUACUUAUCCAUCAUCUCUCUAGCAGAAUCACUGUGGCCAACAUCUUCAAAGUCAUUUGUUGCAUCCUUCCCAGUUGCUGAAAGCAAAACUUCAUCACCACCUGGAUGAUCAUCCAUGAACGGAGUGACAUCAUACACCUUUCCGCUGAUGAUGAGCCAGCAAUCUUUGGUCUUGUUGUGCUUAGCGACCUCCUCAAAUGCAUGAAUUUUCCGAUCCGACGCCAUUUUUUCCUGCUAGAGAGAGAGUUCUUUGGAUUCUGUUUCUGUCUCCGAUUGUGCACCCAACACCCUUUUUGCGACCAGCAAGUUGCCUCCCCUUUCUCCAGCACCACCCUCCCUCUUCUUUAGUCCCUUUCGUCUCCCUUUUUUUCCCCUCUUCCCUUCUCGCUCUCGUCUUCCUCGUCGCUAUUCUCUUCCUCUCCUCUUUAAAACUAGCAGCAGCCGCAACUCCGGCAGAGUUCCAUGGCCACCAACAGCUCCGGCGAAGGCGACAACAACAACUCCAACAAGUGAUGAUUAUAGCAAUUACCGACUUGCCUACAGUUUGCCGAGAUCAUCAAUCAAUUUUUAAUAAAUAGAUCUUUUCAGAUCCGUCGAGCAAGUUUUUUUCCGUUCUUUAAUGCGACUAUUAAAUUCUCUAUUGUUUGUCCUGUUGCUUUCUUAGAGUAUAUUACAUGAAAAUGUGGGAUUCAACUCCUGAUUUGAGGUCAUAGUGUUUGUCACCGUUUGUGAUUACUGGUGUUCUCCGGGUUUAAACCUCUU